Molecule: long non-coding RNA, 1367 nt
Filed under: Elaeis guineensis (African oil palm)
Lineage: Eukaryota; Viridiplantae; Streptophyta; Magnoliopsida; Arecales; Arecaceae
Description: long non-coding RNA (EGUI_LNC079333)
Source: RNAcentral
CAAAGGCCCGGUUCUUUUAGACCGGAUGGGGGGAGAGGCCUUGCAACGUCCUAAUGUGCCCCCACGGCCAUGUCGGGAACAGGAGGAGAACCUCGUCCUGACAUGAGCAAAGUCGAAGGUCCGGUUCUUUUAGACCGGAUGGGGGAGAGACCCUGGUGAUGGUCCUUAUGAGCCCCGCAUCUCCGUUGGGAACAGGAGGAGAACCUCGUCCUGACGAUGACGAAACCCGGCCGCCCAACAAGAUCGAAUGAAGGGGAAAGGCCCCUUAGCGGCACCUCCAUACUUCUAUGCAACCCCGCAAAAGGCAGGGGGAGGGUCCUCACUCUGAGAAGAGGAGGAAAAUUAAAAAGGAAGAGCAACGAACUACGACGGAAACAGAUGAAGGACAAACCACACCAAAGACCUAAAGAACCUCGUCUCAAUAAAGACGGGGAGCUCCUACCAAACACCCCCGGUCUCUGAGAAAACUCUCGACACAGGUCAAGAAGACAGCGACGGCCUCGAGGUAAUGCAGAGUUCGGACCGUCAAGCUCGAGCUCGCGGCCAUGAACGACGAGGAAGGCAAGUCAACGUAUCAACGACUGGACGCCUCCCAACGACGUCAACAUCAGACAGGUCGGACGGCAAGAAAAGUUCGGCGGACGACAAUUUAAUACAACGCACGAACGAGGUAACACGAAAUCUCCUUUUCAUUCCAUUUCCAAAAUACACACUACAAAGCCCGGAAGGCCAAGGAAAGAAAAGCAAAACGAUAAAAGCGGGACGAAACAACAAAAGGAAAAAUAUAUACAUGAAAGGACAGAAGGACGAAAAGAGUCCUAGGGAAGCUCUGCUCCCUCCGACCUAGAAUUAUCUGCUCCACCCCUCAUCCAAGACUGCCUGAAAUUCUCAAUUUCUUCUUCUAGCUCUCUUCUUCUCUGCAGCGCGCCUUGGAGCACCCGACGAAGUCGUUGGCUCUCGAUCUCCGCCUCUCGACGCCUCUUUCUCAAGACCUCAGAUUCCGCCUCCGCGUCCGCGACAGCCCGCUGCUCGUACGCCAGCUGGAUCUUCAGUUGUUGCAGCUCAGCCGUCUUGUCCCCGAGGGCAACGGAAAUCCCUUCAACGGUUCCUCUUAGGGACUGGAGCUCAUCAGAAUCCCGAGCGGAAGUAAGCUGAGCCCUGUCGGCCAGCUGCCUCUGAAGACGGGCGACUUCGUCGGUCGCCACCCUGAGUCUCCCUUUGUAUUCGUCCACCUGCCUGCGCCAACCGGUCCGGUGCACGUCGUAGCUCACCUCGGCGUCCUGAAGCUGCUGCUGAAGGGCGGAGACCUUCGACCAUUCUCGGUCGCUGUCAGCCCGGGCCAAGAGCCGGGAUGAACUUCCUUCCAG